CGUACUUGCCUGCACGCGGGUCUUUCGUCAAACCCCCGCGUGUGCCAUCCUUCACACAAACCCAUACGCGCCCACGGUACAGCAGAAACGGAGGAGAGGGGCACACGCACUUGAACCUCUCCGCCCUGCGUACAGUGGAGACGCGACGCGGCCUGUCGUAUCUAUGGCCAUCCUUGGCGCGAGCACACACACAAGCACGAGGAAGGACGUGAAGAGGCGACGCUGAUUCCACUCCUGGCACAGGCCCUCAAGAUCUCUUUGGUUUCGCUCGGCUUCGCUAUCCGCCAUCUCGCAUGGCGGCAGCCGCGUCACCGUUCUCGCUGCCUCGUGCGCGGUUGCCAGCGCUGCAGCAGCUCCCGCUUGACUCCAUCACGGUGUACGAUACGGCCACCCACUGCUACAUGCUCGGCACGGACAGCCUACAGAAGAACUUCCACCUUCUCUCCUGCCGCAAGCACAGCGCUGAGCAAGCACCGUGCCACAACGCUAUCAGCAACAGUAGCGUCGCCGCGGCCACUGGCAGUGAUGGACACCAGAACGCCACCGUGUCCGAGUCGGAGGCAGGGCGGGCAGGAGCGGGCACCGCUGCUCCCCCAAGCGCCUCCCACGCCGAACUGUUUGGCCUUGACGACUUGCACGACUUCACGAGCUACGCUGUCUACUCCCCGACAGAAGCCGGUGCCCUCGUCGACGCUCUGCGACGGGAGCACGGCCCGACCAUGCGCAUCCUCCCCGCAGUCGCCUUCCUCGGUGCGGUGCGCUUCACCGCCGGCUAUUACGUGGUACUGGCGACGGAGCGACGCAUGGCGGGCUACCUUGGCGUACACCGGCUCUUCGAGGCUGUGAGCGUGGAACUGGUCUCGCUGCAGCUGGAUCCUGAAUGGGUGGCCGCCGCAGAGACGCAGGCGCGAAAACGGCUGCAGCAGCUUCGGCGAGGCGGCGGCGUUGGUGCUCGAGGCUUCAAGGCCGGCUACUCCCCGUUUAUCUCUACACCAGAGACAACGGCAGGCUCGCCGUUCGCGCCUUCUACGUUCCGCUCACGCCCCGCCAGGGCUGGCUACGGCCGCAAGGCCGUCACCUCUGGUACGGGCGCCUCGGUGUCCGCCACCUCGUACAUUUUUCAGCGCCGCAGCCUGGAGGAGCUGUAUCGGCAGCAGUUCAUCACCUCCCUCUCGCGCGCCUCGUCUUUCUUUUACUCGCACAGCUACGACCUCACGAAUACCCUUCAGCGGAACAUGCUGGCGGCAGGGACAGCGGCGACCGACGGGGCCCAUCCGAUCACCUGCGCAGACAACGGAGGGCGGCACCACUUUGAGCGGCGCCCAGGUCGCGUCGCAGCGGCAGAUGCCAGGGUGGAGCCCUCCCCGCGAAAUCGUCAGCCGCUGCAGCCACGGAUGCAGUACGUGUGGAACGAAUACCUUUUGGAGCCGUGGCAGCGGAACGAUCGCAAUGCGGAAAGCGUCGACGCCGAGAUGAGUGACAUAGCCGAGGCCGAUGUCGGCAGCGGUGACGCGCCGGCAGCCCCGCCCGCCGGUCGCGCAAAACGGGAUUCGGCGCCGCAGUACCCAUCUGCGCUGUCGCGGUGGUAUGUCUUCCUCGUGCAUGGCUACAUUACGCAGCGCGCUGUGGUGGUACGUCAGCCAGCCUUUCGCACGCUUCUCAUCACGCUCAUCGCGCGUGUCAGCAAGGCGUCGGCCGGCGUACGCUACCUCCGGCGCGGCCUCAACAGCGACGGGCACGUUGCAAAUCACGUUGAGGUGGAGCAGAUCAUCAGCGACGAGUCUUCGUGGAACUCUGCCUUCACGGCUGGCACCCUCACCUCCUACGUCCAGCUGCGUGGGUCGGUGCCGGUGCGGUGGUAUCACCCACCGACAGCGUCGCGCCUGCUUCCGAAGCCGCCAAUCGUUAUAGGCCCGCACGACUCACAGUGGAGUGAGACAUGCCUUCACUUUCAGCACCUUCUGGAGCAGUACGGCGCACCCAUCUUGGUGCACGACCUUCUCAAGCGCAGAGAGAGCAACGCGCGGGAGAGCGUGCUCGGCGACGCGUACCGCGCGGCAGUACGUGCCAUGGUCGCCGCUGUGGACCGUUGGACCGCCGCCACGGACGCUGCGACCGCCUGCCGGGACGGUGCGGAGAGAGGUAACACAAGCGAGCCACGCGUCUGCGGCGCUGACGUUCUCCAGUACGAGUCUACUGACCUCCGCAGUCUCAGCCAGCUCGCGUGGAACACGAUGACGGCCGUGGCAGAGCAGCACUUCAGCGCAGUCCGCUGCUUUGUCAGCAGGCGAUGCUGCCCGGCCGCCACUCUUGAGCGGCACGCACAGUGUGCUUCUCUCCUCGAUAGCAGUGACGUGCUCAUGACGGGUGACACCAGCGAGGUCGCCGAAGCACACGGCAGACGCAUCAACGGCGACGGCGGAGAUGCCGAGGUUGUUCAGCUGCAGCGCGGUGUGGUCCGCAGCAACUGUCUCGACUGCAUCGACCGCACUAACCUUGGUCAGCUUUUCCACGGCCUCCAUGCUCUGGGAGAGCAGCUGUCCGCGCUCGGCCUGCUGCGGCACGCAGCGGACGUAUGUGACUCUCCAGCGGUAACGGAGAUGCUGCUUGAGAUGUACCUGGCCAUGGGCGACGCCAUAGCCACCCAGUACGGCGGCUCCGCCCAGGUCGGCGCUGGCGUGCUGCACCGCGGCGCAGGUUGGGAUCAGCUGAUGGGGGUGAAGCGCCUCUACCACAACGUCAUGGGUGAUCGUGACAAGCAGGAGGCAAUGAACCUUCUGCUCGGCCGCAAGCAGCCGCAGCCCCGCCGUGGCUCACGCGCCUGCAACGCAGAGAUGCACAGCCCUGGCCAAAUGGCCCCGCUCUCACUUGCCCAGACCUCCCCAUCAUCCACGGCGCCGUCGCUGAGCGCCUCCAUCACGUCUGCGUCGCCAGCGGUAGCGGCUGCGUUGGCUGGCGUGGGCCGCGGCCCGCUUGCAAGCGAGGAUGCCGUGAAACCGUCGGCAUCCUUCUUCUCUGGAAUCCGUCAGACGGCCUCGCGGUGGUGGAGCGAAGCAACUUCGUCGGCGUCGUCUUCUGGGGCGGCGGUGGCGGCCGCGGAGGCAGAGGCAGAGGCCGACUACUACGAGCAAGUCUCCAGCGCCCCACGGCUGCCUCUGGCCGGUCUGCUGACGUCGUGGUGGGUGCAGCCGCUACGCCGCUUCGACGAGUGGUGUGCUGCAUGUGGUGCCAGUGCACUGCGGGGCGCCACGAGGAAUAGCAAGAUGGCAGACGCCCCGAGCGUGUGGCCUUUAGGAGCAGUUGCUACCCCGAAGGCGCCACGCAGCUCCUUGGCUCACUCAGAUGCGCCUUUCUCCUCUCCCGCAUCGACGCUCGCCUCCUCGACAAGCUCCCGCGCCAGUGUGCUGACGAGCGCGGCCGUGGCGUCGGCCGGCGCCUACGGCGGAGACGAGCUUGCGCUUCGCCUUCUAGCUGCCGAGACGCAGGCGCAGGAACGUUGGAAGCUCUUCAUUGCCAAUGUGGAGCGACAAGCUUGCCUCGCCCCAGCUCGGCGCGACGCUGCCACGCAGCUCUACCACGACAGACGUAGGGGGGUGCCGCAUGGCGACGGGAACGACGAUACCGCUGCAGCACCGUCCCUGCCUUUACUCUUCUCUUCAGUCCCGGCGGGCACCCCCGCUAGCGACGCGUCGGCGCCGUCACGCACGAUGCAGUGGUCUCUCGUAAGCAGUGCCACGUCGUUGACUGCGCGUGCAGCGGCCGCCGCUGGCAGCGCGGAGGCAGGUGCCCUGUCCCGUGCAGGAUAUGCAACGGUGGCAUCGGCGGAGCUCGCGCCUCUGCCCCCCUCGGCACCGUUGUUGGCCGCUCCGCCGUGCCUCUUCCCUGAGCCGUGGGUUCUUCUCCGCACGACGAUGCACGUGUUGCCCGUCGAAAGCGUCGCCGCUUCAGAGUGCCGGCCGACCCGGACAUCGACUGCCUCUGCUGCUGCGUUGUGCUCUGGUGGCUUUGUGCGAUCGGGUAAGAAGCGUGCUGCGAUUUACAGCGUCGGCGAUGUUUUGCAGCAAGAGCCGCCGUACAGCGUCGGGCAAGCCGUUGCGCGCCAGCUCCUUGGCUGUUUCCCGCCUGCCGCCGCGGUCGUCACCGCUCACUCUCGGCGCCAGAUGUUGAUGGAGCGACAUCAGCCCUGGCGGUCGCCGCAGGAGGCUCAUCCACACGACGCCUUCCCAAGCAUCGUGCGGAACAGCGCGUUCGCGCUGCAGAAUGCAGACCUUGAACGGUUGGCGUACCGGGAGAUGCUGUGGAUAGUAGAUGGUGUCGACAGGGCGGCAGGUGAGGCUCGCGGGGUGUCCGCGGAAUCGCUGCAGAGUUCCGCGUCGCCUGCUUCGAUGGCGCAGCCCUCAUCACUGCCAGGAUGGCCGUGGACUCUCUCCACGCAGGAAGUCGCGGACCGUCAGUUCAUAGCGGCUCUGCUCGUGGGUUGGUUUGGUGCGCCGGCAACGUGGGGGCUAGAGGACAUGGUACGAGUGGUGCAGCGCCUCGUCUACCCCGAGCCCUUGCCGGUGGAGGUUCUGCAGGUGCUGCGCAGCAGCCGUGUGCAGCCGCCACUCGAAGGAGCGGAGCUUCUGUUCGCUGGUGCGCCUGCGAGGGCAGAAGAGGGCGCGGAGGAACGAGAGCAACGCGUGGACGCGGAGACGAGGCAGUACUGGCAUGAGCGACUCGCCGCACCAGUCGGUCAACGAGGUCCGCUCUUCGUCCGCGGUACUGCCGCCGCUGCCUUCAAGCAUGCCUCCAGGCCGACGGCGCCACGGCGAGACCCCGGAGGCAGAGGUGCCCUCCUUAGGCGGGCGUCACCCGUGCGCUUUUCCACGCCGUCCACGCCGCUGCCGUACCAGUGGGAUGUGGACGUCCACGCUGGCAGCCCCGUGCAAGCGGCGGUGGCUCUCCUCUGCCGUCUCACGAGCGUUCUACGCUUUGCGGCGCACGACAACACGGCGAGCGGGGCGUCGGUGAACGGCACGGGCAUCGGGCCGGUCGUGAUGGCGCGCGGCAACGGAGUCGUCGCGGCCACCUCUAUGGCAGCUCCCUGGAGCCACGUAGUCUCGACGGGUGAGAGUCGCGAUGGCGCGAGCGUGAACGUCCUCGCUGUAUCGGCGCACGACGCCGACGCUGCGCAGGACGAGGGGGCCGCGCCUGUCCGCCGUGUGGAAGAGGCGCUUCUCCCCUUACUGGAGGAAUGCCCCAACUCUGGCGCGCCCGCAUCUGCUUACCUUCCGGGCCUCUUUCCCGAGCAUGAGACCCUCCCCGACUCGCUGCGUCGGCAGUGGCUCCUGUGCCGUCUCCUGCAGCCCAUCUUCGCCCGCUGCGCGCUGACGCCACCAACGCUGCACAGCCUGCUUCGUGACUUCUUUGCCGAGCUGCUCACUCCCGACGAGGUGAAUGGGAAGAAUGAGCAGCGGCAACAGCGCCGACGCCGCGAGUACCGCGUCCGCUACAGCUUUGUGCUGCCCCAGCAGCACGGGCAGCUGCAGCAACAGCCACCGCAGGGGCAAAGCCCCAGCCUGCAACCCUCGGGCGGUAACGCUGCGGAUGGCGCUGGGGGUCGCGGGGAUGGAUGGUACCUGUACAAUCUCUUUUCGGGCAGGCCUACGUCGCUGUCGUCUUCCUCACCGCAGGAGCCGUCGAAUGUGGGCAAAGCCUCCUCGUCCCCCACCGCCGCCGCGGCCUCGCGAACGCUAAACAUUCCGGCCACGCUGAAGGUGCGGCACUGCUGUUCUGCCUUGGAUCUCUACCGCUGGUCUGUGGCGCACUGUCCGCUCUUCGUGAUUCCUUCUGAGGACGAGCCGAGCGGCGCGUCCGUGGUUUCCGGAAACAGCAGCAUCGCGAGCAGGAACAUCGCAGCGGCUGCGUGGCACCUGCUCUGGUGGGCAAUCGACAACAACUUUCUCAUUCCUGUAGUGCGCCGCCGCGGCCAGGCGACGCUCGAAAUGCUAGCGGAUGAGACAGCACUCUUCUGCGUGAAGCGCGACGUUGCGCGCGUCGCGCUGAACGUAGAGCGCCGCUGCCACGAUGACGUCUGGCGACCGCAGCAACCGGAAGCGCUGACCGACUCUGGGAAAGAGGUGCCUGGCUCCAGCGCCAUCUAUGGAGUCGAUCUCGCCCCAUCGAUGCUGCGGCUGCACCGGCCCCUUCGUCGCAGCGCUCUCGCCGGCAUCUUGACGCUGAGCGAAAAUCUGGCGAGUCUCGGGCUGCGUGCCGCGACGCAGGUGCAGGAGUUUUUCCGCGUUCGCACCGUGCACGGCUGGGUGCGGCAGUCCCUCGGCGCCAGCUCUGGCACUACGGUCGCUCUCUUCGGCGGCCGCGCCGUUGGUGCAACGGGAGUGGUAGACUCCUCCCCCGUGGCCAGCGCCAGCAGCGGCUCCAGCGCUGCCACAGCAGCCGCUGUCGUUCGACGUUUUCACCGGCUCGCUGUGGACUGCCUACAGAGCGUGCAGAGUGCCAUGGCAGCGCUUCAGCACAUGUCUCUCGAGGUUCUUGCGAGGGACGCCGCCAUGCACGACUACAUCAGCUUCUUUGUGAACGUGUACAAUGCCGCCUACGUAGCGGCGUGGCUGACCAAUGUGAAGGAGCUGGUGGGUAACGGCGCCGCAGCGGCAACGGCUGACACGAACUCACCCGCGAAGAGCAGCCAUCACCAACAUCAGGGUGCUCUUCGCGCGCCGAUACCACGCACCAUCGAUCUCUUCCCGCUGCCCACCUUGUGCAACACGAGCUACGCCUGCUUCAUGCACGCCUACGGCGUCGUCAUUGGCGGCGUGUUUGUGAGCCUCGAAGAGAUGAAAUACGGUAUCCUGGGCGGAAACCGAGCUCCGCCCCACUGCGACCUGCCGCUGUGGCCCCCAAUUGGGGGCAAUGGUGCCAAUCCGUGUCGCCCCUCUAUCAGUCAGCGGUCGAGCGAGCUGGACUGGCAACAGCAGAUGCAGCGACUUGUUCCGCUGCACCUGCGCGCUGACGUGCCCGAGGCGGCGCGGAUCAAUGCCCUUCGGCGUCAUCCGCACCUGCAAGAAGCGCUCGACUUCAUCGACAUGUGCGAGGCGCUCGCCCCCUCCACAUCGCACAUGCACGAUGCUUGCGCUGAGAGGGACGGGGCGCACGCAGUGUCGGCGAAGGCACGGCUCUCCUCGCACGAACAGGGUGCCGUGCGGAACCCAAGUGGCAGCUGUCGCGCCCCUUCCGUGUUGCAGCCCUCGCCGGCCCCUUCCCUCGGCACCGUGGCGGCCGCAGCAGCGGCAACGGACUCGGCUAGGCGAAGCCUACGUGUGUCGUCGUCGUUGCCGCCGGACACUUCAUCAGCGCGAGGGCCGGGCUGCCAAGGUGAUGGUGGCCCUCAGCCGCGCCGACGCCACGAGCUUGUUGAUGUGUGGAGCGUCGAUGUCGUGCGUUACUUGCCGUUCCGCAUCCUGCUUCAGCUCAUCGACACCUAUCUACCGCCGCCGGUGCUUCACCUGUGCGCCGGCAGCGUCGAUGCAGAGUGGAAGGAGAGCUCUGUGGAUGUCACCGGCGACGAUGAUGGCAGCGGUGCAGCAGGCAGCAGCAGCCCCGUCCUGCUCGACGGAAGAGACCGUGUACCGUGGUAUCUGCAGCCGAUCUUCAACGCCACGCCGCUGGUGCACACCGCCUUGCAGAGCUCCAAGCUCGGCGCCACCUACGCUGUUGCCCACGAUGGCGACGGACCGGCGGCCGGCAUGUUGACGCCACAGGUCAGCCAAGACGCAAACGGUGUGCUGCUGCAGCCGUCUCGCAUGUGGAGCAGUCCUUCAUACUACGUCGUCGGCGGCGACGGCAUCAGCGGUGAUGAAGCCGUGAGCCACUCCUUCCAACUCCUGCAAGCGCUGGCAGGCUCCUACCUCGGCGCCGGCCUCUACCACCCCAUCAGCCUUGGCACCACGGAUGGCAGCGCUGAGGAUGCUUCGCCGCGUGCUCCAACGCAGCACCUGUGUCUCCCCCUUCACUCUGGCGAUGCCUUCACGCAGCUGCGCGCGACGGAGGCAGCCUUCCGCAGUGCCCUCCUCACCACUGACCCGCACCUGUUUUGUGACGCCGCCGCACCACCACCAUCCACCAAGUCGCCCGUGGCGUCGGCGACGUUUUGGCGCUCGUCCCAGCCGCCGCCGCUGUCUUUGCCGACUGCCUCUUCGCAACCGCACCAUCUGCGCGGUCGUGGCGGUGCCGCCGGCAUGCACACAAGCGCAGCUGGCCCCGGCGCCAGACUGAUCUUUGGCGGCUCUGGCAGCUCCGCCACAUCUUGCUCUGCCACCCUGCAGAGCGCCAUGAAGCCUCUCUUGUACGAGUGGUGUCGGUCGGUAGAGAAGGAGAUGAGCAACUCUACCCUUCUCUCCCAACCUGGGUGGCAGAUGCGGGUAACGCUCCAAAUGGUGCGGCUGCUCGAGGAGUCCUACGCGUCGGGGAGGGCAGUGCGAGCAGCACAAGCGGCGAUGCAGUCUGGCUAGGCGGUGCCGAGCAAGU
Molecule: unclassified non-coding RNA, 8523 nt
Filed under: Leishmania donovani
Lineage: Eukaryota; Euglenozoa; Kinetoplastea; Trypanosomatida; Trypanosomatidae
Description: gene:LdHU3.24.0970(CDS-product:inositol_polyphosp hate_phosphatase_putative)
Source: RNAcentral